GGAACAUAGUUAUAGAGGAACCAAAUCACAGGGGAACUGAAUCACAGGGGAACAUAGUUGUAGGAGAACCAAAUCAUGGGGGAACAUAGAUAUAGAGGAACCAAAUCACAGGGGAACUGAGCCAGAGGGGAACAUAGUUAUAGGGGAAGUGAAUCACAGGGGAAUGUAGUUAUAGGGGAAGUGAAUCACAGGGGAACAUACAGGGGAACUGAAUCACAGGGGAAUGUAGUUAUAUAGAGGAACCAAAUCACAGGGGAACUGAACCAGAGGGGAACAUAGUUAUAGGGGAAGCGAAUCACAGGGGAACAUAGUUAUAGGGGAAGUGAAUCACAGGGGAACAUAGUUCUAGGGGAACUGAAUCACAGGGGAACAUAGUUGUAGGAGAACCAAAUCAUGGGGGAACAUAGUUAUAGAGGAACCAAAUCACAGGGGAACUGAACCAGAGGGGAACAUAGUUAUAGGGGAAGCGAAUCACAGGGGAACAUAGUUCUAGGGGAACUGAAUCACAGGGGAACAUAGUUAUAUAGAGGAACCAAAUCACAGGGGAACUGAAUCAAAGGAGAACAUAGCUAUAGGGGAAGUGAAUCACAGGGGAACAUACAGGGGAACAGAACCACAGGGGAACAUAGUUAUAGAGGAACCGAAUCACAGGGGAACUGAAUCAAAGGAGAACAUAGUUAUAGGGGAAGUGAAUCACAGGGGAACAUACAGGGGAACUGAAUCACAGGGGAAUGUAGUUAUAUAGAGGAACCAAAUCACAGGGGAACUGAACCAGAGGGGAACAUAGUUAUAGGGGAAGUGAAUCACAGGGGAACAUAGUUCUAGGGGAACUGAAUCACAGGGGAACAUAGUUGUAGGAGAACCAAAUCAUGGGGGAACAUAGAUAUAGAGGAACCAAAUCACAGGGGAACUAAAUCAAAGGAGAACAUAGCUAUAGGGGAAGUGAAUCACAAGGGAACAUACAGGGGAACCGAACCACAGGGGAACAUAGUUAUAGAGGAACCAAAUCACAGGGGAACUGAAUCAAAGGAGACCAUAGCUAUAGGGGAAGUGAAUCACAGGGGAACAUACAGGGGAACAUAGUUAUAGAGGAACCAAAUCACAGGGGAACUGAAUCAAAGGAGACCAUAGCUAUAGGGGAAGUGAAUCACAGGGGAACAUACAGGGGAACCUAAUCACAGGGAACAUAGUUAUAG
RNAcentral lists this long non-coding RNA (1196 nucleotides) under Sus scrofa (pig). RNAcentral's name for it is "lncRNA (ENSSSCG00035019325.1)". Lineage: Eukaryota; Metazoa; Chordata; Mammalia; Artiodactyla; Suidae. The record is from RNAcentral.